RNAcentral lists this ribosomal RNA (429 nucleotides) under uncultured prokaryote. RNAcentral describes it as "bacterial SSU rRNA". It matches the Rfam family "Bacterial small subunit ribosomal RNA", at positions 355 to 776 of the family's 1533-position model. The record is from RNAcentral. RNAcentral also lists the same sequence under 1 other name.
CUAAGAAUCUUCCGCAAUGGACGAAAGUCUGACGGAGCGACGCCGCGUGAACGAUGAAGGCCGUGAGGUUGUAAAGUUCUUUUCCGGGGGGGGAAUAAGGCGCGCAGGGAAUGGCGCGCCGAUGACGUGAACCCGGGAAUAAGCCCCGGCUAACUACGUGCCAGCAGCCGCGGUAACACGUAGGGGGCGAGCGUUGUUCGGAAUCAUUGGGCGUAAAGGGUGCGCAGGCGGCCGUCCAAGUCUGGUGUGAAAUACCCCGGCCCAACCGGGGGGACGCGCUGGAAACUGGAUGGCUUGAGUACAGGAGGGGGAGUCGGAAUUCCAGGUGUAGGGGUGAAAUCUGUAGAUAUCUGGAAGAACACCGGUGGCGAAGGCGGACUCCUGGCCAUGUACUGACGCUGAGGCACGAAGGCGUGGGGAGCAAACAGG